AGUGAACGCUGGCGGUAGGCCUAACAUAUGCAAGUCGAACGGCAGCACAGUAAGAGCUUGCUCUUACGGGUGGCGAGUGGCGGACGGGUGAGGAAUACAUCGGAAUCUACUUUUUCGUGGGGGAUAACGUAGGGAAACUUACGCUAAUACCGCAUACGACCUACGGGUGAAAGCAGGGGAUCUUCGGCCCUUGCGCGAUUGAAUGAGCCGAUGUCGGAUUAGCUAGUUGGCGGGGUAAAGGCCCACCAAGGCGACGAUCCGUAGCUGGUCUGAGAGGAUGAUCAGCCACACUGGAACUGAGACACGGUCCAGACUCCUACGGGAGGCAGCAGUGGGGAAUAUUGGACAAUGGGCGCAAGCCUGAUCCAGCCAUACCGCGUGGGUGAAGAAGGCCUUCGGGUUGUAAAGCCCUUUUGUUGGGAAAGAAAAGCAGCAGGUUAAUACCCCGCUGUUCUGACGGUACCCAAAGAAUAAGCACCGGCUAACUUCGUG
This 492-nucleotide ribosomal RNA is filed under the name uncultured bacterium. RNAcentral's name for it is "partial 16S ribosomal RNA". It matches the Rfam family "Bacterial small subunit ribosomal RNA", at positions 29 to 507 of the family's 1533-position model. The record is from RNAcentral.